GUGCUUGCUUCAGCGGCACAUAUACUAAAAUUGGAAUGAUACAGAGAAGAUCAGUAUGGCCCCUGCACAAGAACUAUUGCAUAGAAAGAGGCCCAUAAGCACACAAAUAAUU
Small nuclear RNA from Artibeus jamaicensis (Jamaican fruit-eating bat), 112 nucleotides. Lineage: Eukaryota; Metazoa; Chordata; Mammalia; Chiroptera; Phyllostomidae. The record is from RefSeq and is a predicted model, not a curated record.